AUUAAAAUAUAUACUUAAAUAAAUUACUAGAGUUCACUCUUUGAUGCGAAACUGUGUGCGUUUGAGCGAAAGUGCGAAAAUCGGCAGUUUUUUACAACAAACAUAUGGCCCCGUUAUGGCGUCGUUUCGUACAAACGCACAGCAAAGCAACAAAACAAACGCUAACUUUUGCCUUUCGCAUCAAAGAGUGAACUGGCUUAUUGUUUUGUUUUGCUUAAUAUUGCCCCACUGGAUUUUUAUAUGCGGUUUUUUUUAAUUUUUAUAUGGAGUAUCUAAAUUUAUGCAGUUUUUGAACUUUUUAUUGCGGCAUAUUAUACGCAUAUACCGCAUAAAAAAAGACCUAAGUGUAAUAAAAUGUUCACGGAAACAAAUUUAUGUGCGAUAAGCGUUUCGUUUGCGAUGAAAGUGACAAAUCGUCUGUCAGUCAACGGUGAGUUAAUUUGGGGUAGUUCACUUUGUACAACAAUUUUUUGUGUCCUUGAUUGAAAUAUGAAAAACAAACACUUUUAUAUUUGCCAAUAAAUGUUACAUUGAUGUCAUAACUAACUAAUUAACCGAAAUUAAAAUUUCCGUGUGUAU
This is a long non-coding RNA of Rhagoletis zephyria (snowberry fruit fly), 579 nucleotides long. RefSeq lists it as uncharacterized. Lineage: Eukaryota; Metazoa; Arthropoda; Insecta; Diptera; Tephritidae. The record is from RefSeq and is a predicted model, not a curated record.